Long non-coding RNA from Serinus canaria (Common canary), 2230 nucleotides. NCBI's taxonomy places the organism in Eukaryota, Metazoa, Chordata, Aves, Passeriformes, Fringillidae. The record is from Ensembl.
GGCCGCCGGACGUGCACCAGAUGACGCGGGGGGCGGCGGACACCGGGAGAGGGACACCGGGAACGGGAUCUGAGCGGGAUCCAGAACAGCCCGGGACACCGGGAACGGGAUCUGAGCGGGAUCCAGAACGGACCGGGACACCGGGAACGGGAUCCGAGCGGGAUCCAGAACGGACCGGGACACCGGGAACGGAUCUGAGCGGGAUCCAGAAGGGACCGGGACACCGGGAACUGACCAGGACACCGGGAUCGGGAUUGGACCAGGAACGGGAUCUGGGGAUCCGGAAUGGACCGGGACGCCGGGAUCGGGAUCAGGAGACCCAGAUCAGACACCGGGAGCGGAACGGGAUCGAGACACCGGGAUCCGACCGGGAUCCGACCGGGAUCCGACCGGGAUCGGCAAUGGACCGGGGCUGGGAACGGGAACGGGAUCAGAAUGGGAUCCCAGGAAUGCACCGGGAUCGGGAACGGGAUCGGGAUCAGACCGGGAACAGGAACGGGAAUGGACCAGGAAUGGGAUUGGGAUCGGACUGGGAACGGGAUCUGGAUCGGGACCAGGACUGGGAAUGGGAUUGGGAACAGGAACGGGAUUGAGAUCAGACCAAGAAUGGGGAAUGGGAUCGGGAACAGGAAUUGGGAAUGGGAACAGGAAUGGGAUUGGGAUCUGGAUCGGGAAUGGGAACGGAAUUGGGAUCGGGAACGGGAUCGGGAGCAGACCAGGAAUGGGGAAUGGGAUCGGGAAUGGGAUCAGGAUCAGGAUCAGGAAUGGGAACAGAUCAGGAUUGGGAAUGGGAUCAAGAAUGGACCAGGAACGGGAUCGGGAAUGGGAAUAGGAUUGGGAGCAGAACGGGAACAGGACUGGGAGAAGACCGGGAACGGGGAAUGGGAACAGGAAUGGGAACGGGAUUGGGAUCAGAUUGGGAUCGGGAUCAGAUCGGGAUUGGGAUCAGGAUGGGGAAUGGGAUCAGGAAUGGGAUCGGGAUCGGGAAUGCGGCCCCGGGAUUGGGGAGAGCAGCGGGAAUUUGGGAACUCGGGAUCGGCCCCGGGAUGGGAAAUUCGGGAGAGGGAAUUGGGGGAAUUGGGGGAAUUUGGGGGAAUUCCGGAGCUUUCCCGGGAUCAGGGAGAGCCCUGGGUCCAGCGGGGUCGGGAUGGGAAAGGGAAACCCCAAAAUCCCAUUUUAAACCCCAAAAAUCCCAUUUUAACCCCAAAAUUCCCAUUUUUAACCCCCUAAAUUCCUAAAUUUAAAUCCCAAAGAUCUUUUUGGUUUGGCCCAAAAUUCCCAUUUUUAACCCCAAAAAAUCCCAUUUCAAAUCCAAAAAUCUCCUUUUUCACCCCCAAAAUCUCAAUUUUUCAUCAAAAAACCCCACCAAAAAUCCCAUUUUUGACCUCCAAAAUUCCCUUUUUAGCCCCAAAAUUCUCAUUUUCAAAUCACCAAAUCCCAUUUUUCACCCCUCCCAAAAUCCCUUUUUUGCCUCCCUCCAAAAAUAUCCCAUUUUUAACCCUUUUCCUCCCAUUUUAUCCCAAAAUUGGGGGGGUUUUAACCCUUUUUUCCCCAAAAUUUGAAGGUUUUUUUUAACCCUUUCCCUCCCAUGUUAUCUCAAAAUUUGGGGUUUUCUUUUAACCCUUUCUAUCCCAAAAUUUAGGGGGGGGAUUUAACCCUUUUUUCCCAAAAUUGGGGGUUUUUUUAACCCUUUUAUCCCAAAAUUCGGGGCUUUUUUUAACCCUUUCCAUCCCAAAAUUUGGUCGUUUCUUUAACCCUUUUUUCCCAAAAUUUGAGGUUUCUUUGACCGUUUUUUCCCAAAAUUUGGGGGUUCUUUAACCCUUUCCAUCCCAAAAUUUGGGGGUUUUUUUUAACCCUUUUUUCCCAAAAUUUGGGGUUUCUUUGACCGUUUUUUUCCCAGAAUUUGGGGGUUUUUUUUUUACCCCUUUCCAUCCCAAAAUUUGAACUUUUUUUAACCCUUUCCCUCCCAAUUUAUCCCAACAUUUGGGGUUUUCUUUUAACCCUUUUUUCCCAAAAUUUGAGGUUUCUUUGACCGUUUUUUUCCCAGAAUUUGGGUUUUUUUUUACCCCUUUCCAUCCCAGAGUUGGGGGUGUGUUUAACCCUUUCCCUGCCGCAGUUCCCGGCCUCCCUGGGGGAUUUUUGGGGCGAUUUCCCGGCGUUUUGGGGCAGUUCCCGGCGAGUUUUGUACUGUAUUUAUUGUCCAUAGCGUUUUUUAAGGAAUUCCGGACAU